This 221-nucleotide unclassified non-coding RNA is filed under the name Borreliella burgdorferi (Lyme disease spirochete). RNAcentral describes it as "partial 5S-23S ribosomal RNA intergenic spacer". Lineage: Bacteria; Pseudomonadati; Spirochaetota; Spirochaetia; Spirochaetales; Borreliaceae. The record is from RNAcentral.
UGUACGCUUAUUUUAUACUUUAACUUUGAUUUUAUUUUUAUGUUUUUUAAAUAUUGGUGUUUUUGAAUGUGUUGUUUAAAUAACAUAAAAAAUAAAAUAUAUAUUGACAUGUAUUAAACAAAGAUAUAUAUUAUUUUAUGUUGUAUAAAUAAAUUGGCAAAAUAGAGAUGGAAGAUAAAAAUAUGGUCAAAGUAAUAAGAGUCUAUGGUGAAUGCCUAGGA